Gopherus flavomarginatus (Mexican gopher tortoise) is the source of this 1448-nucleotide long non-coding RNA. RefSeq lists it as uncharacterized. The record is from RefSeq and is a predicted model, not a curated record. Lineage: Eukaryota; Metazoa; Chordata; Testudines; Testudinidae. The transcript has 3 exons.
GCUAAAGAAGAAGAACUAAUCUGAAAUGGAAAAAGGAAAACUUUGCAGUGAACUUUCAAGGUUUCAUCCCUUCUGCCUCGAGCGUCCCCCUACCCACCAUCACCCUUCCCUAGCCCAAUAUGGAGAGCCAUCUGCAGAGCUGGGAACCAUGUGGACGGAGAGGAGUUGCACAGGCUUUUGAUAAGGAGUAGCGAAGAUCUCAGCUGCUCGGAAAAUACAGGUGCCACAAACAAAAAGUGCAGGAGCCCACAUUGCUGAAGAGGCAAGAAAGAGAAAAUACGUAUAUUUUGGGACUGAUCCUCCACUUUUCAAGGAAAAGUGCCAUUCAGAGUAACAAUUCUCAGACUUCCUUCACGGUACAAAGUUGUCUGUAGGAAUACAUUGCUGAAGCUGAUCGUGAUGUCCAGGAAAUUGGCAUCUACUUCCUGAGCAAAUUCAAGAAACAAAUCACCCCCAGAAGUCUCACCACCUAUAACCCUCUGACCACUACAUACAACUCCAUAUAUGCUGCGCAGCUCUGCAAAAACUGAGGAACCACUGGGCUUCACACACUCCACAGAGGACCACCUCAAACAAGAAAUCAUCACAUGCUCUCUUACUCUGGAAAAAUCAGGAAAUGGAAGAAAAUGGAGUUGGUCCAAAUCAACUAUCAAAAAAACUUGAUCACAGCCAUCCAACACAAAAACAGAAAGCAGAACCAACUACAACUCCUCCACAACUUACAGAACACCACUUCUGGGAGAACCAUUGCACCAGGACCCACCACAUGGACAGUAUAUAACAUUCCAACAUCAUCAAGACUAUCCCUAACUGGGAGCUGAAAUAUCUAUACCCUUCCAGAGACUGAAUUUCUGCCCCCACCACAGAAGCUGAGACCAUACAUGGAGAACUAAAAGAAUUCUGCCACCAACUCCAUCUUGAAAAAUUCUUUCACAACAAUGAUGAAACCACCCACAAUUACCAGCUCCCCCCAGCAGAAUUAUCUGAGUGGACACCCCACUGCAGAUGAAACCCACUCAUGAUUAUUACAUUGAUUGCUUCAGGAAAAAGAAUUGACUGUGAAAUCCUUAACAAACAUCACAUUCACCACAAUCUCUCUACCGCCAAGAGGACUGCUAUGCAGUCCCUGAAAUUCAGCCACCAGAUAGUGAUCAACCACCAUCCAUCAAUAAAACUCUGUCUAGACCACUCCCACCUUACUUCGACUUCCUGGACACAACAAUCAUCUUCAGCAAUGGAACCCUACAGACAACAAUCCACUUAUCACAUCCAUAGGCACUGAUUCCAUGGAUGCUGCUCCAGGGCUGGAUCGCCCACAGAAAAAAAAUAGUGGGUGCUGAGCACCCAUCUGCAGCCAGCUCCUUCCCUCUCCCCCAGUGCCACUCAUCUGCUGGCAGCCCCUCCAAUCAACUCUUCCUUCUCCCUCCCAGUGCCUGCUGCCCGCUGCA